UAGCUACUCCCUCCGUCUGAAAAUAAUUGUCGAAGAAAUGAAUACAAAUAUAUGUAUCUAGAACUAAAAUACAUCUAGAUACAUUCAUUCCCGGGCAAGUAUUUCCGAACGGAGGGAGUAGAUG
This is a non-coding RNA of Triticum aestivum (bread wheat), 124 nucleotides long. The record is from Rfam. NCBI's taxonomy places the organism in Eukaryota, Viridiplantae, Streptophyta, Magnoliopsida, Poales, Poaceae.